This 734-nucleotide ribosomal RNA is filed under the name uncultured bacterium. RNAcentral's name for it is "bacterial SSU rRNA". It matches the Rfam family "Bacterial small subunit ribosomal RNA", at positions 51 to 775 of the family's 1533-position model. The record is from RNAcentral.
ACACAUGCAAGUCGAGGGGCAGCAUGAACUUAGCUUGCUAAGUUUGAUGGCGACCGGCGCACGGGUGAGUAACACGUAUCCAACCUGCCGAUGACUCGGGGAUAGCCUUUCGAAAGAAAGAUUAAUACCCGAUGGCAUAGUUCUUCCGCAUGGUGGAACUAUUAAAGAAUUUCGGUCAUCGAUGGGGAUGCGUUCCAUUAGGUUGUUGGCGGGGUAACGGCCCUCCAAGCCUUCGAUGGAUAGGGGUUCUGAGAGGAAGGUCCCCCACAUUGGAACUGAGACACGGUCCAAACUCCUACGGGAGGCAGCAGUGAGGAAUAUUGGUCAAUGGACGAGAGUCUGAACCAGCCAAGUAGCGUGAAGGAUGACUGCCCUAUGGGUUGUAAACUUCUUUUAUACGGGAAUAAAGUGAGGCACGUGUGCCUUUUUGUAUGUACCGUAUGAAUAAGGAUCGGCUAACUCCGUGCCAGCAGCCGCGGUAAUACGGAGGAUCCGAGCGUUAUCCGGAUUUAUUGGGUUUAAAGGGAGCGUAGGCGGACGCUUAAGUCAGUUGUGAAAGUUUGCGGCUCAACAGUAAAAUUGCAGUUGAUACUGGGUGUCUUGAGUACAGUAGAGGCAGGCGGAAUUCGUGGUGUAGCGGUGAAAUGCUUAGAUAUCACGAAGAACUCCGAUUGCGAAGGCAGCUUGCUGGACUGUAACUGACGCUGAUGCUCGAAAGUGUGGGUAUCAAACAG